ACGAACCGUGCGAACGUUGUUCGGAAUCACUGGGCGUAAAGCGCACGUAGGCGGCUUUUUAAGUCAGGGGUGAAAUCCUGGAGCUCAACUCCAGAACUGCCUUUGAUACUGAGAAGCUUGAGUCCGGGAGAGGUGAGUGGAACUGCGAGUGUAGAGGUGAAAUUCGUAGAUAUUCGCAAGAACACCAGUGGCGAAGGCGGCUCACUGGCCCGGUACUGACGCUGAGGCGCGAAAGCGUGGGGAGCAAACAGGA
RNAcentral lists this ribosomal RNA (253 nucleotides) under uncultured prokaryote. Its description in RNAcentral is "partial 16S ribosomal RNA". It matches the Rfam family "Bacterial small subunit ribosomal RNA", at positions 525 to 777 of the family's 1533-position model. The record is from RNAcentral.